This 72-nucleotide transfer RNA is filed under the name Camelus ferus (Wild Bactrian camel). It matches the Rfam family "tRNA". From Rfam's summary of the family: Transfer RNA (tRNA) molecules are approximately 80 nucleotides in length. Their secondary structure includes four short double-helical elements and three loops (D, anti-codon, and T loops). The record is from Rfam by way of RNAcentral. Lineage: Eukaryota; Metazoa; Chordata; Mammalia; Artiodactyla; Camelidae.
GAGGGUAUAGCUCAGUGGUAGAGUGCUUGCCUAGCAUGCACAAGGUCCUGGGUUCAAUUCCCAGUAUCUCUG